Molecule: transfer RNA, 62 nt
Filed under: Sphaeroforma arctica JP610
Lineage: Eukaryota; Ichthyosporea; Ichthyophonida
Rfam family: tRNA
About the family: Transfer RNA (tRNA) molecules are approximately 80 nucleotides in length. Their secondary structure includes four short double-helical elements and three loops (D, anti-codon, and T loops).
Source: Rfam by way of RNAcentral
UGCAACGUUUUUCUGCAAGACUGUUAAUCUUGAGGCCAAGGGUUCGAUCCCCUUCGUAGCAA